CAGCAGCCGCGGGAAUACGGAGGGUGCAAGCGUUAAUCGGAAUUACUGGGCGUAAAGCGUGCGUAGGCGGUUCGUUAAGUCUGUUGUGAAAGCCCCGGGCUCAACCUGGGAAUGGCAAUGGAUACUGGCGAGCUAGAGUGUGUCAGAGGAUGGUGGAAUUCCCGGUGUAGCGGUGAAAUGCGUAGAGAUCGGGAGGAACAUCAGUGGCGAAGGCGGCUUACUGGCUCAUACUGGACGCUGAGGUGCGAAAGCGUGGGGAGUAAACAGGAUUAGAUACCCCGGUAGUCCCUGUCUCUUAUAC
This 301-nucleotide ribosomal RNA is filed under the name uncultured bacterium. RNAcentral describes it as "partial 16S ribosomal RNA". It matches the Rfam family "Bacterial small subunit ribosomal RNA", at positions 509 to 807 of the family's 1533-position model. The record is from RNAcentral.